GCCAGAUUUGCGAAAAGGAAGCUGGACGAGUCUGUUUUCCUAGGAAAAAAGCUACAGGUCUCUUAUGCACCUCAAUUUGAGAGUCUGCACGAGACGAAGGAGAAGUUAGAAGCAAGGAGAAAGGAAGUUCUAGCACGAUUAAACCCUGGAAGGUCUAAAGGAUCUGCCACAUAUCGGCCAGAUAUGAUUGGUGAGCCCUCGAUAACUUCCUCUCCAGCCCAGUUGAAUUCUACCGCACAAUCAAUUGGCUCUAAUCAUAGGCAGAUCUCGAGUUCUCCGGGUAAUUCUGUUCAUGAGAUGCAGUGUUCUCCCAUGACAAUGGGUUCUUCAGACAAGGAAUACUUUCCUUCACAGUCUAUGAAUCAAACUGUUAAGCUGGUCAGAGAUAAACUAAAUAAGAUACAAUCCAGUACGGACCAUUUAGAAGAACCAUCCAAGCGAAAACGAGUUGACAAUAGGAGACGGAUAUAAAUUACAAUCCAGUG
Molecule: unclassified non-coding RNA, 485 nt
Filed under: Hevea brasiliensis (rubber tree)
Lineage: Eukaryota; Viridiplantae; Streptophyta; Magnoliopsida; Malpighiales; Euphorbiaceae
Source: RNAcentral